GACGAACGCUGGCGGCGUGCUUAACACAUGCAAGUCGAACGGUGAAGCGCCUUCCUUUUUGGUGGGUGUGGAUGAGUGGCGAACGGGUGAGUAACACGUGAGUAACCUGCCCCCUUCUUCUGGAUAACCGCAUGAAAGUGUGGCUAAUACGGGAUAUUCUGGGUCUGUCGCAUGAUGGGUCUGGGAAAGAUAUUGUUUCGGUGGGGGAUGGGCUCGCGGCCUAUCAGCUUGUUGGUGGGGUGAUGGCCUACCUAGGCGGUGACGGGUAGCCGGCCUGAGAGGGUGGACGGUCACACUGGGACUGAGACACGGCCCAGACUCCUACGGGAGGCAGCAGUGGGGAAUAUUGCACAAUGGGCGCAAGCCUGAUGCAGCGACGCCGCGUGAGGGAUGGAGGCCUUCGGGUUGUGAACCUCUUUCGCCAGUGAAGCAGGCCUGCCUCGUUUGUGGGUGGGUUGACGGUAGCUGGAUAAGAAGCGCCGGCUAACUACGU
This 493-nucleotide ribosomal RNA is filed under the name uncultured bacterium. RNAcentral's name for it is "partial 16S ribosomal RNA". It matches the Rfam family "Bacterial small subunit ribosomal RNA", at positions 28 to 506 of the family's 1533-position model. The record is from RNAcentral.